Molecule: long non-coding RNA, 650 nt
Filed under: Taeniopygia guttata (zebra finch)
Lineage: Eukaryota; Metazoa; Chordata; Aves; Passeriformes; Estrildidae
Description: lncRNA (ENSTGUG00000028156.1)
Source: RNAcentral
UCUUUCAACACUGUGAGAAGUGAUGAAAAAAACAAUGCAGUGAUUUUUAUAUUCUUGUGUCAUUAACUCUUCAAUAAUUUUCCCUUUUUUUUUUUUUUUUUUAAUUUUCAUCUGCAUUGUUAUAGGUGUUCAGCAAGAGAGAGAAACUUUUGGAUUAAUUUUACAAAACAUGAGCAUUUGAGUGGUCACAAGGAUUAAGCUGCGGUUUCAUCAUCUUUUGCUUAUUUCUCAACUGAAAGAAUAAGCUGUGAAAUCAAUUGGUUCCAGCAGGAAUGAUUAUGCACCUCAGGCUGAUUUCAGGAGACUCUCUGGAAGAAGUAGAAAAUACCUGGAUAUGUACAUCUGUGUUGGCUUCUCAAAUCACUGUUCAGCUCCUUCCCAAAUGAGCUCUGAAGAUGGAAAUCUAAACUCCUAAUGAAGCAGGCCAGCAGGUUGGAAGAAAGAUCAAAAAGCAUGUCUGGCAAUGUGACCGAUGGGCAGUACACUGGAGAUGAAAGACUCUGCAACUCCAGCCUCUUGGGAAGAGUCACUGAAAAGAAAGCAGAAGAUGGAUGGCCUGCGGAGGAGAGCUCCAGCAAAGCUAAUGAUGACCCUUGAGGACUGUGUGUGGAUAACAGAUGAUGCAGGAUUCCCUCCCGUAAGCAAGUGCA